GAUGAACGCUGGCGGCGUGCCUAAUACAUGCAAGUCGAGCGAAUGGAUUAAGAGCUUGCUCUUAUGAAGUUAGCGGCGGACGGGUGAGUAACACGUGGGUAACCUGCCCAUAAGACUGGGAUAACUCCGGGAAACCGGGGCUAAUACCGGAUAAUAUUUUGAACUGCAUGGUUCAAAAUUGAAAGGCGGCUUCGGCUGUCACUUAUGGAUGGACCCGCGUCGCAUUAGCUAGUUGGUGAGGUAACGGCUCACCAAGGCAACGAUGCGUAGCCGACCUGAGAGGGUGAUCGGCCACACUGGGACCGAGACACGGCCCAGACUCCUACGGGAGGCAGCAGUAGGGAAUCUUCCGCAAUGGACGAAAGUCUGACGGAGCAACGCCGCGUGAGUGAUGAAGGCUUUCGGGUCGUAAAGCUCUGUUGUUAGGGAAGAACAAGUGCUAGUUGAAUAAGCUGGCACCUUGACGGUACCUAACCAGAAAGCCACGGCUAACUACGUGCCAGCAGCCGCGGUAA
This 515-nucleotide ribosomal RNA is filed under the name uncultured bacterium. Its description in RNAcentral is "partial 16S ribosomal RNA". It matches the Rfam family "Bacterial small subunit ribosomal RNA", at positions 28 to 523 of the family's 1533-position model. The record is from RNAcentral.